This 513-nucleotide ribosomal RNA is filed under the name uncultured bacterium. Its description in RNAcentral is "partial 16S ribosomal RNA". It matches the Rfam family "Bacterial small subunit ribosomal RNA", at positions 28 to 523 of the family's 1533-position model. The record is from RNAcentral.
GAUGAACGCUGGCGGCGUGCCUAAUACAUGCAAGUCGAACGCACAGCGAAAGGUGCUUGCACCUUUCAAGUGAGUGGCGAACGGGUGAGUAACACGUGGACAACCUGCCUCAAGGCUGGGGAUAACAUGUGGAAACAGAUGCUAAUGCCGAAUAAAACUCAGUGUCGCAUGACACAAAGUUAAAAGGCGCUUUGGCGUCACCUAGAGAUGGAUCCGCGGUGCAUUAGUUAGUUGGUGGGGUAAAGGCCUACCAAGACAAUGAUGCAUAGCCGGGUUGAGAGACUGAUCGGCCACAUGGGGACUGAGACACGGCCCAAACACCUACGGGAGGCUGCAGUAGGGAAUCUUCAACAAUGGGCGAAAGCCUGAUGGAGCAACGCCGCGUGUGUGAUGAAGGCUUUCGGGUCGUAAAGCACUGUUGUAUGGGAAGAACAGCUAGAAUAGGGAAUGAUUUUAGUUUGACGGUACCAUACCAGAAAGGGACGGCUAAAUACGUGCCAGCAGCCGCAGUAA